GAUGAAGAACGCAGCGAAAUGCGAUAAGUAAUGUGAAUUGCAGAAUUCAGCGAAUCAUCGAAUCUUUGAACGCACCUUGCGCCCUUUGGCUAUUCCAGAGGGCAUGCCUGUUUGAGUAUCAUGAACACCUCAACUCUCAUGGUUCUGCCAUGAUGAGCUUGGACUUUGGAGGUCUUGCUGGCCCCUGUGGUCAGCUCCUCUCAAAUGGAUCAGCUUGCCAGUGUUUGGUGGCAUCACAGGUGUGAUAACUAUCUACGCUUGUGGUUUUCCACCAGGUAACCUUCAGUGAUGGAGGUUCGCUGGAGCUCAUAAACGUCUCUCCUCAGCGAGGACAGCUUCUUGAACGUUUGAUCUCAAAUCAGGUAGGGCUACCCGCUGAACUUAAGCAUAUCAAUAAGCGGAGGA
Molecule: unclassified non-coding RNA, 405 nt
Filed under: soil metagenome
Description: partial contains 5.8S ribosomal RNA, internal transcribed spacer 2, and large subunit ribosomal RNA
Rfam family: 5.8S ribosomal RNA (bases 1-121)
Source: RNAcentral